UGGCCUACGGGACGCAGCAGUGGGGAAUAUUGGGCAAUGGGCGCAAGCCUGACCCAGCAACGCCGCGUGAAGGAAGAAGGCUUUCGGGUUGUAAACUUCUUUUAUCAGGGACGAAGCAAGUGACGGUACCUGAUGAAUAAGCCACGGCUAACUACGUGCCAGCAGCCGCGGUAAUACGUAGGUGGCAAGCGUUAUCCGGAUUUACUGGGUGUAAAGGGAGCGUAGACGGCAUUGCAAGUCUGAUGUGAAAGAUUGGGGCUCAACCACAGGCCUGCAUUGGAAACUGUAAAGCUGGAGUACAGGAG
This 305-nucleotide ribosomal RNA is filed under the name uncultured bacterium. RNAcentral's name for it is "bacterial SSU rRNA". It matches the Rfam family "Bacterial small subunit ribosomal RNA", at positions 335 to 654 of the family's 1533-position model. The record is from RNAcentral.